Engraulis encrasicolus (European anchovy) is the source of this 1773-nucleotide long non-coding RNA. RefSeq lists it as uncharacterized. The record is from RefSeq and is a predicted model, not a curated record. Lineage: Eukaryota; Metazoa; Chordata; Actinopteri; Clupeiformes; Engraulidae. The transcript is spliced from 7 exons.
CAUAGACGUUCAUAUCUUGUCCAUAUCGCGUCCGUCCGUCUAAGACCAGUUCUGUACCCAAAAAUGACGUGCAAAAUAGGUAUACUAUUUUGACGUCAAACUAUGAGGUCCAUUAGACGUCUGAAUAUAGUUAAUCAUUUACCCAAUGGGGACUGCCUAAACAGAUGUGUCAAAAAAAAUAACACAUUGGGAUGUGUAGACAGCAUUGACAGAUUAUGUGUCAUUUUUGUGUAAGAUUUCACAGAAUGUGUGAAACCUGAAGUUAAGAGAUUCAUUUCUGGGUCGUGCUACAAGUGAGAAACUAACGGCCGUUUGGCUGUCCAAUCGCGUGACUGUGGACAUUUGAAAGCAGACUUCCGCCCGCCUUUUCUACCGUUGGAAAUGCAAGAUGCGGCGACUUGACUUCAGACACCGAGAGAGGCUGGCGGCCCAGGUCUUGUGGCCACAUCUGUCCAAGCUCCUACUCUGAUUGAACAGUUGGAUGAUCAGACUGAUGAUGAAAAGUGCUACACAGUUCUCACACAUCUUCUGACUCCGAAGCCGCUGCAGUGUAAAAUCUGAGAUGUCUUUUCUGGUUGAUUUUGUGCAGAUUUCUGACAGCGACAGCGAUGGUGAGGGAAGCAGUGUACCGAACUCUCAGAUGACUCGGACCAGGUGACCAAACCCAUGCAAAGCACAAUGACUGUGCUGAGGCGUUCCGCCCCCCUCCCCCUCCACACCACUCAAGGCACGGCGGCGGCCCAACCGCAAACUAACGGAGAUUAACAUGAGGCUGGAUGCGCUUGGCUCCCUGCUGCGUCCAUCACCAGAGGGGCCGGGAUUGCUGCGGCAGCUAGCCAAUUAAAGGAGGAGGAUGAAGGAGAGGAGUCUGACGAUGCCGACAUCGCCAUCGUAUGCAGUCCACGCCCUCGCAGGAAAACCAGCCAAUGAAAACGCUUGCAGCAGCAUCAGCAGAACACACCGGCACGACUGACAGAGCUUCUGAAGCAUGCAGUGGAAGACCUGUCAGUCAAGCUAAAGGUCCCGCCCUCCAACCUGCUGCUGCUGCACGGAGAGGCGGAACUUAACACCUCACACACUAUUGGCCAGCUAGGACUCUGCAUCGCUGACAUCUUUGGUAGGAAUGUGUGUGUGUGUGUGUGUGUGUGUGUGUUUGCGUUUGGGUGUGUUUGCGUGUGGGUCUGUGUUGGUGCAAGUCAGUCUUGGCUCCUUCCUGAUAUUAUACUGUAUAAGUUCAUACGUAUACCGCAUUGCAAAAUGAAUUUCAUAUACAGUAUAUCACGAAAGUGAAUACACACCUCACAGUUUUUGCAGAUUUUUGAUUAUACAUUUUCAUAGGAAAGCAUUACAGAAAUUUCACUUUGACACAAUGAUUAGUGACCUUUUAACAACUUAUUUAACCGCUUAAAUUUCUUGCGUCAGCAUGACAGUCAUGAAGUAACGAAGAUGGUUGACAGUUCUUAUGUUCACUGUCCCUGGGUCGCUACAGUAUGCUCAAAAUUCAUCAUUUAAAGACGGUUUUAGCUAAAUUUUCUCCCAUGGGAGACCAUGCCCCCAGACCCCCCUAGUAUGACUCAACACUAUCCCCCAAAAACGCCACUGCACACCACACAUUCGCGCGCACCGCUGCAGCACACGCGCCGCAGCACACGCGCCGCUCCGUGCCACCGCGCCACGCCGCACCUUUCUCACCUUUUUCACCCCUGACCCGUUUUCAUGCCUGUAUACUUAGUUUGACUGGUAUGCUUCAUACCUUUCAAUCAGUUAAGUAAA